RNAcentral lists this long non-coding RNA (932 nucleotides) under Ricinus communis (castor bean). Its description in RNAcentral is "long non-coding RNA (RCOM_LNC001995)". The record is from RNAcentral. Lineage: Eukaryota; Viridiplantae; Streptophyta; Magnoliopsida; Malpighiales; Euphorbiaceae.
GGAGUGUCGGGGAGAGAGGACGCGGAAGAAGGAGGGGGCGCUGCAGGCGUGGGUGGCGACCGCCGGGGGCGCGGAGCGCUGGCCGACGGAGCGGCGUGCGCUGGCUAGCGCAGCGGCGGCAGCGACUCCAGCGGCGGCGGGGAGCGGCGGAAGAGCGAGAAGAGGCAGCGGCUUCCAGGCGUGUUUCCGGCCGUUUCCGGCGGCGUUGGCAGCCGAGUCGGGUGGAAAUCGGCUCCUCUCGGCGAGGGCUCUCUUUCGGAAGCAGCGGAGACGCCUGUGGUGGCUGGAAUUGCGAGAUCCGGCAAAGUAAAGUUUGGGGGGGCAGCGGACGUUUUUGGAUUUUUCCGGCGAGCUCUGGCGAGCUAUGGAUGAUCGGAGGACGUAUCCCGACUCUCCUCAGCUCAAGCUUCGCAAUGACACCGGUUUCGUGGCGAUCGGACUUCGUUUGCAAAUUGACGGCCGAGAUCAUCCGUAAAUCUCUCCAGAUGAUCGGGUGUCAGAUCGGAAAAUCAGAAGCGGGUAUCGUCAUCAUGGCAUGACAUGUAUGGUUUCCAUGACUUAUUAAUUAUUUUAAAAUUAAAUAAUGUGAUAUUGAGAUGUUUGAAACUAUUUUAGAUAUAUGAUUUUAACUCACUCUCGAGACUGACAGUCUCCAUUUACUAUUUUUCAGAUUCGUGACUGUUAGUCUUCCCGCUACUCUUACUCAGUAACCCGACUUCUUCAUCAUCGGGUGGUGUUUGAUUUGGUAUGUCAAAUUGUAAAAUCUUAGAUUCUCCGCAGUAGUAAUAGUAGGGAUAUCAGUGGUAAUGUAAUUUUCUGUAGUUUCGAGUCUCGCCUAAUUCUUCGAGCAAACCAAUUUAAUUGUGUAAAAUUUAACGUUACUGUAAAUUGUGGUAUUAAUAACAAUAAAAUUUGAGUUGAGGUUGGUAUGA